UCACCCGCUUUGUGGGGAUCCAUUUUGGCCGCCCCAGGAGACCAGUACGGCGGGUGGACAACGCUGGACGUGGCUGCGGUGGCCCCAGGUGACCCGGCCACUGUGAGCUGGAGUAACUCAAACUCAACCGCCCACAGGGACCACAUUCCUGGCCAGGGAGCUGGGAAGUGUUUCCUGGGGGGAGGGGCAGAAAAGCAAAGCACGUGUCCUGUGCAUCCAGCUUCUUCAUGGGUGCGCCCAGGGAGAACCGAAGGCUGAGGCCCGGCCAGUGUCCCGAAGGAAGCUUUCACCCCCCUCGUCACUUGUCUCUGUUGGUUCAUGGGCUCGGCAUGUCAGCGUGGCCCCCCGUGCUGGGUCUCAUGAGACCCCAGGGGGAUGCUGAGGGGCAAGCCCAUGGAUCUCCAUCUGUGAGACUGAGCCAUCUGCAAAUGGGCUCAGCUGGGGAGGAUACGCCGCCCACAUGGCCACGUGCUGACGUUCUGGAGGGACCAAUGCAGAUGCCCCUCUGAGACCAGGAAGACCAACAAACCCACCACAGAAGAGCGAACAGUG
This 552-nucleotide long non-coding RNA is filed under the name Equus asinus (donkey). RNAcentral's name for it is "lncRNA (ENSEASG00005030695.1)". The record is from RNAcentral. Lineage: Eukaryota; Metazoa; Chordata; Mammalia; Perissodactyla; Equidae.